UACGUAGGGACCAAGCGUUGUCCGGAAUUAUUGGGCGUAAAGAGCUCGUAGGCGGUGUGUCACGUCGGCCGUGAAAACCUGCAGCUUAACUGUGGGCGUGCGGUCGAUACGGGCAUCACUGGAGUUCGGCAGGGGAGACUGGAAUUCCUGGUGUAGCGGUGAAAUACGUAGAUAUCUGGAGGAAUACCGGUGGCGAAGGCGGCUACCUGGUCCUACAUUGACGCUGAGAUACGAAAGCAUGGGGAGCAAACAGG
Molecule: ribosomal RNA, 254 nt
Filed under: uncultured bacterium
Lineage: Bacteria
Description: partial 16S ribosomal RNA
Rfam family: Bacterial small subunit ribosomal RNA
Source: RNAcentral